This 73-nucleotide transfer RNA is filed under the name Deltaproteobacteria bacterium. RNAcentral describes it as "tRNA-Lys". It matches the Rfam family "tRNA". From Rfam's summary of the family: Transfer RNA (tRNA) molecules are approximately 80 nucleotides in length. Their secondary structure includes four short double-helical elements and three loops (D, anti-codon, and T loops). The record is from RNAcentral. Lineage: Bacteria; Pseudomonadati; Myxococcota; Myxococcia.
GGGGGUGUAGCUCAAUUGGUAGAGCAAUGGACUCUUAAUCCAUAGGUUGGGGGUUCGAUUCCCUCCACCCUCA